Molecule: ribosomal RNA, 253 nt
Filed under: uncultured bacterium
Lineage: Bacteria
Description: partial 16S ribosomal RNA
Rfam family: Bacterial small subunit ribosomal RNA
Source: RNAcentral
UACGAAGGGGGCUAGCGUUGCUCGGAAUGACUGGGCGUAAAGGGCGCGCAGGCGGUUGCUGAAGUCCGUUGUGAAAGCCCCGGGCUUAACCUGGGAAUGGCAGUGGAAACUAGGCGACUUGAAUCUGGCAGAGGGGGGUGGAAUGCCACGUGUAGCAGUGAAAUGCGUAGAGAUGUGGCGGAACACCGAUGGCGAAGGCAGCCCCCUGGGUCGAGAUUGACGCUCAGGCACGAAAGCGUGGGGAGCAAACAGG